RNAcentral lists this ribosomal RNA (934 nucleotides) under uncultured bacterium. Its description in RNAcentral is "bacterial SSU rRNA". It matches the Rfam family "Bacterial small subunit ribosomal RNA", at positions 12 to 942 of the family's 1533-position model. The record is from RNAcentral.
UUUGAUCCUGGCUCAGAUUGAACGCUGGCGGCAUGCUUUACACAUGCAAGUCGAACGGUAACAGGGAGCUUGCUCCGCUGACGAGUGGCGAACGGGUGAGUAAUAUAUCGGAACGUACCCAAGAGUGGGGGAUAACGUAGCGAAAGUUACGCUAAUACCGCAUACGAUCCAAGGAUGAAAGCAGGGGAUCUUCGGACCUUGUGCUCCUGGAGCGGCCGAUAUCUGAUUAGCUAGUUGGUGAGGUAAUGGCUCACCAAGGCGACGAUCAGUAGCUGGUCUGAGAGGACGACCAGCCACACUGGAACUGAGACACGGUCCAGACUCCUACGGGAGGCAGCAGUGGGGAAUUUUGGACAAUGGGCGCAAGCCUGAUCCAGCAAUGCCGCGUGAGUGAAGAAGGCCUUCGGGUUGUAAAGCUCUUUUGUCAGGGAAGAAACGGGAGUGGCUAAUAUCCAUUCCUAAUGACGGUACCUGAAGAAUAAGCACCGGCUAACUACGUGCCAGCAGCCGCGGUAAUACGUAGGGUGCAAGCGUUAAUCGGAAUUACUGGGCGUAAAGCGUGCGCAGGCGGUUUUGUAAGUCUGACGUGAAWUCCCCGGGCUCAACCUGGGAAUUGCGUUGGAGACUGCAAGGCUAGAAUCUGGCAGAGGGGGGUAGAAUUCCACGUGUAGCAGUGAAAUGCGUAGAGAUGUGGAGGAACACCGAUGGCGAAGGCAGCCCCCUGGGUCAAGAUUGACGCUCAUGCACGAAAGCGUGGGGAGCAAACAGGAUUAGAUACCCUGGUAGUCCACGCCCUAAACGAUGUCUACUAGUUGUCGGGUUUUAAUUAACUUGGUAACGCAGCUAACGCGUGAAGUAGACCGCCUGGGGAGUACGGUCGCAAGAUUAAAACUCAAAGGAAUUGACGGGGACCCGCACAAGCGGUGGAUGAUGU